CGCCGCUCGGCCACCCUGGGAACUCUUCGCACCCCACGCCUCCACGUAGCCCUCCUCGCUCGUCACCUCCGAUCUCAUUCUGCGUCUCUGGGUACCCACGGCGACCGGGAAUCCGAGAUCGUCCUCCACCCCUAGGGGCUCCACUCCGACGGACGAAUCUCUCCCAGGACGAGGGUACCCGAUACCCCGAGGAAGGGAGGAACGGAAAACCGCGGGAAUACGUUCGCCUCGGUGAAGUGGUGUUCGAGAUCCUAGGGGAGAAGAAUAUCUUCUAUCCGGAUUCUGGCGCGCCGAGGUAUUCCGCCCCGCGGGAAGAGAAAAAUAAAAAGGAAGAAAAAGGAAAACCUCUCUCGAAUGGUUUGCUCCACUUCGCCACGUGAAAAUUCGAGCCGCCCUUCGAGAGCUCUCGUCGAAUCCGGGGAGGAAAUUAACGAACGAGAUGAUAUCCCUAGCUUCGAUCCUGAU
Orussus abietinus is the source of this 465-nucleotide long non-coding RNA. RefSeq lists it as uncharacterized. The transcript is spliced from 4 exons. Lineage: Eukaryota; Metazoa; Arthropoda; Insecta; Hymenoptera; Orussidae. The record is from RefSeq and is a predicted model, not a curated record.